Non-coding RNA from Trichonephila clavata, 73 nucleotides. The record is from the annotation of a GenBank genome assembly. Lineage: Eukaryota; Metazoa; Arthropoda; Arachnida; Araneae; Nephilidae.
GUUCCUGUAGCACAAUGGAUAAUGCGUUGGAAUUCUAAUUCAAUGGUGGUGGGUUCGAAUCCCACUUGGGGCG